GCCCCGGUAGCUCAGCGGUUAGAGCAACGGACUCAUAAUCCGGAGUGCGCCGGUUCGAAUCCGGCCCGGGGCA
This 73-nucleotide transfer RNA is filed under the name Solirubrobacterales bacterium. RNAcentral's name for it is "tRNA-Ile". It matches the Rfam family "tRNA". Rfam says of the family: Transfer RNA (tRNA) molecules are approximately 80 nucleotides in length. Their secondary structure includes four short double-helical elements and three loops (D, anti-codon, and T loops). Lineage: Bacteria; Bacillati; Actinomycetota; Thermoleophilia; Solirubrobacterales. RNAcentral also lists the same sequence under 1 other name. The record is from RNAcentral.